Molecule: ribosomal RNA, 253 nt
Filed under: uncultured bacterium
Lineage: Bacteria
Description: partial 16S ribosomal RNA
Rfam family: Bacterial small subunit ribosomal RNA
Source: RNAcentral
UACGUAGGGUGCGAGCGUUAAUCGGAAUUACUGGGCGUAAAGAGUGCGUAGGCGGUUCUUUGUGUCCGCUGUGAAAGCCCCGGGCUUAACCUGGGAACUGCAGUCGAUACUGGCGGACUAGAAUGCGGUAGAGGGUGGCGGAACUCCGGGUGUAGCGGUGAAAUGCGUAGAUAUCCGGAAGAACACCGAUGGCGAAGGCAACCACCUGGGCCUGCAUUGACGCUGAGGUACGAAAGCGUGGGGAGCAAACAGG